UGUGCGAGACCGAUAGCGAACAAGUACCGUGCGGGAAAGAUGAAGAGAACUUUGAAAAGAGAGUUAAAGAGUACCUGAAACUGCUGAAAGGGAACCGAAUCGUUUCCAGUGUCUAUAAUCUAUGGCAUAUUUCAUUGGCGUGUGGGUGUGUACAGCGUUUUGGAAGUAGUUUUCUGCUCCUGUCGUUGUUUUGCGCUCGCCUGCUGGUGCCCUGUGCUGUAGUGGGACGUCAGAGUCAGUUUGUAUGCUGCGGGAAAUGGUUACUGGGGAGGUAGGUCACUUCGGUGGCUGUUAUAUCCUGGUAACUAGUCGUCGUGGCUGAGACUGAGGUGCCUACAACGCGCUUUCGAGUCUGCGAGCUUCUCGUGUGGCUGUUUGCUUUGAUAGCUUGCUAUGUUGGUGAAUAAGUCAUGCGAUUGAGACCUGUAGUAACUUGUUGCUGUUCGGGACUUUGAA
RNAcentral lists this ribosomal RNA (456 nucleotides) under uncultured rhizosphere oomycete. RNAcentral's name for it is "eukaryotic LSU rRNA". It matches the Rfam family "Eukaryotic large subunit ribosomal RNA", at positions 325 to 630 of the family's 3401-position model. Lineage: Eukaryota; Oomycota. The record is from RNAcentral.